Molecule: long non-coding RNA, 229 nt
Filed under: Mytilus galloprovincialis (Mediterranean mussel)
Lineage: Eukaryota; Metazoa; Mollusca; Bivalvia; Mytilida; Mytilidae
Source: RNAcentral
UUAUCAAUGAGAAAUAAAGAUUCCCUUGGAAUUCAUGAAACAUACAAAAAAAAUUAAAAUCAUAAUUUCAUUAUCCCAUUUAUUGUUUACACACUUCAUGAUUCUAUUUUAUAUUUUUUUGUCAUGGUCAAUAUAGGCAAACUUUGUCACAAAAACACACAAGUAAUAUAACAGCCAACGUUUUAGCUCAACACUAAACGAAAGAAAUAUGUAUGUGUCUCUUUUACGU